GCCAGCAGCAAUUUCACCCUGCUACACACACCUGGCAGCCCACUGAAGCUCAGCAGGUAUAAUCCUGGUCAGUACCUGGAUGGGAGACCUCCUGGGAAAAACUAAGGUUGCUGCUGGAA
This 119-nucleotide ribosomal RNA is filed under the name Lepisosteus oculatus (spotted gar). Lineage: Eukaryota; Metazoa; Chordata; Actinopteri; Semionotiformes; Lepisosteidae. The record is from RNAcentral.